AAGAGUAUAGUUUAAUGGCAAAACAAGGAGCUUCAACCUCCGAAUUCUUAGUUCGAGUCUGAGUACUCUUG
This is a transfer RNA of Colletotrichum orchidophilum, 71 nucleotides long. It matches the Rfam family "tRNA". From Rfam's summary of the family: Transfer RNA (tRNA) molecules are approximately 80 nucleotides in length. Their secondary structure includes four short double-helical elements and three loops (D, anti-codon, and T loops). The record is from Rfam. Lineage: Eukaryota; Fungi; Ascomycota; Sordariomycetes; Glomerellales; Glomerellaceae.